Molecule: unclassified non-coding RNA, 246 nt
Filed under: uncultured fungus
Lineage: Eukaryota; Fungi
Description: sequence contains ITS1, 5.8S rRNA gene
Rfam family: 5.8S ribosomal RNA (bases 198-246)
Source: RNAcentral
UCUCUGUAGGUGAACCUGCAGAGGGAUCAUUACCGAGCGAGGGCCCCCGGGCCCGACCUCCCACCCCAUGUGGUCUCCAUCAACCCCGUGCCUCGGGGGUGACCGGCGCCCGCCUCCGCGCGGCGCGCCGGGCCCCCGGCGGACCCCUCAACGCAGCGCUCUGUGCCGUCGAGUCGUUUGGGACAAAUCGCAAGCAAAACUUUCAACAAUGGAUCUCUUGGUUCUGGCAUCGAUGAAGAACGCAGC